GGUUAUCGCAAGGGCGAUUUAUUUUGAGAUUUAAGAGGGCUUGCUGAAAGUAGGGGUUAGAAAAAUAUUUUAUAAAUUUGAGUAUGAAAAAAGAAAUAAAAUUUCAGCAAUAGUGUAGAGUACUGUGUAGGAAAAGUUGAAAUAUAUUUAAAGAGAUAUUAGUGGUGAAGUAUAGAUAAAAUUUAGUACCUUGUGUAUUAGGGAUAUUUUAUAUUAAAUAAUUAUAUUUAUUUUUCCCGAAAUAGAGAUAGCUAAAUUAAGAGGUGAGUUUUUGUGUCAAAAAAAUUCAUAAUUUUAUUUUAGUAGUGAAAUGUUAGUCGGGCUUUAAGAUAUCUGGUUUUUUUUGAAAAAAAUUUAAUUUUUUCUUUGUAUUUGAGGAAAAACAAAGCUUAGGUGUAGAGGGGUCAAGCUCUUUAUUCGAUGAUUAGGACUAUAGGGAUACAGGGAAGUGAUAGUUGAACUGGGCUUAGAGGCAGCUAAGUUUUCAAGGGGUUAUACCUGGAACGUGUAUAAAAAAUAUUUAUGUAUUCUUUAGGUAAAUAAGAAAAAUUUUUUAAAAGUUUAAUUUAAGGAUUUAAAAUGAAUAUAUUAGUAUAUAAGUGUUUUGAUUUAUAUUUUUAUUAGGGGAGUUAAUAAAUUUAUUGAAAUGUUUGGUAGGGUAAAGGAAUUCGGCAAAAGGUGUUUCCGCCUGUUUAUCAAAAACAUGUCUGUAUGAUAGCUAUAUAGAGUCUGGCCUGCCCGUUGGGGUCUGAAAGGCCGCGGUAUUAUGACCGUGCGAAGGUAGCAUAAUCAUUAGUCUUUUAAUUGAAGGCUGGAAUGAAGGGUUGGACGAGAAACAAGCUGUCUUUAUCUUAAAAAUUGAAUUUAACUUUUAAGUGAGAAGGCUUAAAUGGAUUAAAGGGACGAUAAGACCCUAUAAAGUUUAUAUACAGAACUAAUUAAAGAUAAUUAGGAAGAAUAAAAUUUAUUAUUAGGUAGGUAUUUAGUUGGGGCGACUAGGAUAUAAAUUAAUUUAACUGUUUUUAAUUAAGGUCAAAGAUAUUUGAGUUCGUGAUCCUUUUUUAGGAUUAAAGAAUAAGUUACUUUAGGGAUAACAGCGUAAUUUUUUUUGAGAGUUCUUAUCGACAAAAGAGUUUGCGACCUCGAUGUUGAAUUAAAAAUUUCUUUGUAGUGCAGCAAUUACAAGAGAAGGUCUGUUCGACCUUUAAAUUUUUACAUGAUUUGAGUUCAGACCGGCGAGAGCCAGGUUGGUUUCUAUCUUUUAAGAAAAAAGGAAUUAUUUUAGUACGAAAGGAUUAAAUAAUUGGAAUAAUUUUUAAAAAAAUUUAUGGUUAGAUUUAGACUGAUAAAUGAAUUUCAGGGAAAAAAGCUAAAGCUUUU
RNAcentral lists this ribosomal RNA (1380 nucleotides) under Cherax glaber. Its description in RNAcentral is "16S ribosomal RNA". The stretch from base 611 to 1380 matches the Rfam family "Archaeal large subunit ribosomal RNA", at positions 1423 to 2849 of the family's 2987-position model. The record is from RNAcentral. Lineage: Eukaryota; Metazoa; Arthropoda; Malacostraca; Decapoda; Parastacidae.